GUAUGGUUUUUGCCUAUUCAGCUGUUUAUAGCAUUCAUAUGCUUGAGAGAAGGUAUAUGCUUCUCCGAUUCGGUGAUUGUGGUGUCGGCCAGAGUGCUUGGAGUCCCCAGGAAACGCUAGGAGCAUCCUUUAACGGAGGUACCCAGUCGGGGUGCCAGGUGAUCCGUUACAGCAGUGUUUCCCAACCCAGUCUUCAAGGCACACCUAC
Molecule: non-coding RNA, 208 nt
Organism: Pelobates cultripes (western spadefoot toad)
Lineage: Eukaryota; Metazoa; Chordata; Amphibia; Anura; Pelobatidae
Source: the annotation of a GenBank genome assembly